Molecule: long non-coding RNA, 268 nt
Filed under: Rosa chinensis
Lineage: Eukaryota; Viridiplantae; Streptophyta; Magnoliopsida; Rosales; Rosaceae
Description: sRNA RchiOBHm_Chr7g0226861
Source: RNAcentral
GCUAACAAAGCCUCUUUUCUUAAUAAUUGUAUAGAUUUAGACCUCCUAAAAUUUUUGCUAUAAGACAAUAUUUGGCAAAUAAGGGGCAAGAGUGGCAGUUUAAGUGCCAAAUAUUUAAACAGUUGCGGUUGAUGGCACACUUAAUGAGCUUCGAUUAUCUACUUCAUCAAACAUUCAUAAAGAUUAUAGCAUUUAAUUGUUGCUUGGAGACGUGAAAGUACUAGGAUCAGCAUCAAUAAGCAUCUUGAUCACCUCUCGCAUUGUAGGC